Molecule: ribosomal RNA, 800 nt
Filed under: Halomonas sp. Mg18
Lineage: Bacteria; Pseudomonadati; Pseudomonadota; Gammaproteobacteria; Oceanospirillales; Halomonadaceae
Description: bacterial SSU rRNA
Rfam family: Bacterial small subunit ribosomal RNA
Source: RNAcentral
GAGCGGUAACAGGUCCAGCUUGCUGGAUGCUGACGAGCGGCGGACGGGUGAGUAAUGCAUAGGAAUUUACCCGGUAGUGGGGGAUAACCUGGGGAAACCCAGGCUAAUACCGCAUACGUCCUACGGGAGAAAGGGGGCUUCGGCUCCCGCUAUUGGAUGAGCCUAUGUCGGAUUAGCUGGUUGGUGAGGUAAUGGCUCACCAAGGCGACGAUCCGUAGCUGGUCUGAGAGGAUGAUCAGCCACAUCGGGACUGAGACACGGCCCGAACUCCUACGGGAGGCAGCAGUGGGGAAUAUUGGACAAUGGGGGCAACCCUGAUCCAGCCAUGCCGCGUGUGUGAAGAAGGCCCUCGGGUUGUAAAGCACUUUCAGCGAGGAAGAACGCCUGUCGGUUAAUACCCGGCAGGAGAGACAUCACUCGCAGAAGAAGCACCGGCUAACUCCGUGCCAGCAGCCGCGGUAAUACGGAGGGUGCAAGCGUUAAUCGGAAUUACUGGGCGUAAAGCGCGCGUAGGUGGCUUGAUAAGCCGGUUGUGAAAGCCCCGGGCUCAACCUGGGAACGGCAUCCGGAACUAUGAGGCUAGAGUGCAGGAGAGGAAGGUAGAAUUCCCGGUGUAGCGGUGAAAUGCGUAGAGAUCGGGAGGAAUACCAGUGGCGAAGGCGGCCUUCUGGACUGACACUGACACUGAGGUGCGAAAGCGUGGGUAGCAAACAGGAUUAGAUACCCUGGUAGUCCACGCCGUAAACGAUGUCGACCAGCCGUUGGGUGCCUAGCGCACUUUGUGGCGAAGUUAACGCGAU